GGCUUUAUAGCUCAGUGGUUAGGUCACUGAUUUUUUUGUAAGUCAGUGGUUGUGAGUUCAAGUCUCCCUAGAGCCU
RNAcentral lists this transfer RNA (76 nucleotides) under Alligator mississippiensis (American alligator). It matches the Rfam family "tRNA". From Rfam's summary of the family: Transfer RNA (tRNA) molecules are approximately 80 nucleotides in length. Their secondary structure includes four short double-helical elements and three loops (D, anti-codon, and T loops). Lineage: Eukaryota; Metazoa; Chordata; Crocodylia; Alligatoridae. The record is from Rfam by way of RNAcentral.